UACGGAGGAUGCAAGCGUUAUCCGGAUUCAUUGGGUUUAAAGGGUGCGUAGGUGGGUUUGUAAGUCAGUGGUGAAAUAUUGUCGCUUAACGAUAAGGUUGCCAUUGAUACUGCAGGUCUUGAGUUUGGUUGAGGUAGGCGGAAUGUGCAGUGUAGCGGUGAAAUGCAUAGAGAUUGCACAGAACUCCGAUUGCGAAGGCAGCUUACUAAGCCAAAACUGACGCUGAGGCACGAAAGCGUGGGGAUCGACAGGAUUAGA
Molecule: ribosomal RNA, 258 nt
Filed under: uncultured prokaryote
Description: partial 16S ribosomal RNA
Rfam family: Bacterial small subunit ribosomal RNA
Source: RNAcentral